GAUGAACGCUAGCUACAGGCUUAACACGUGCAAGUCGCGGGGCAGCAUGGGGGUUGCUUGCAAUCCCCGAUGGCGACCGGCGCACGGGUGAGUAACGCGUAUCCAACCUGCCCUUCACCACGGGAUAACCCGGCGAAAGUCGGACUAAUACCGUAUGUUGUCCAUUGACGGCAUCCGAUUUGGACGAAAGGCUUGGCGGUGAGGGAGGGGGAUGCGUCCGAUUAGCCAGACGGCGGGGUAACGGCCCACCGUGGCUACGAUCGGUAGGGGUUCUGAGAGGAAGGUCCCCCACACUGGAACUGAGACACGGUCCAGACUCCUACGGGAGGCAGCAGUGAGGAAUAUUGGUCAAUGGGCGUAAGCCUGAACCAGCCAAGUAGCGUGCAGGAUGACGGCCCUAUGGGUUGUAAACUGCUUUUAUGCGGGGAUAAAGUGGCCCACGUGUGGGCUUUUGCAGGUACCGCAUGAAUAAGGACCGGCUAAUUCCGUG
Molecule: ribosomal RNA, 490 nt
Filed under: uncultured bacterium
Lineage: Bacteria
Description: partial 16S ribosomal RNA
Rfam family: Bacterial small subunit ribosomal RNA
Source: RNAcentral